GGUACGGUUUUUAUUGGUUUCUUAUAAACUAAAAAUCAAGGCCGUUAAUUAAACUCCCCAGUGUUAACAUCUUACAUAAUAACCAUUGUACUUUUUUUCAAGACUGAGAAACCAACACUGGUAUAUACUAUUAACUAAGUUACAGACUUUAUUCAUUGAUUUUUCUUCUAAUGUCCUUUUACAGUCCAGAAUCCAGUCUGGGAUACCACUCUGCACUUAGUGUUAUUUAUUUUUUGUUUUCAUUUUUAAAAUCUUUUAGCAGUUCCUGUCAUGGUUCAGCGGAAACAAAUCUGUUUAGUCUCCUUGAGGAUGCAGUUUCGAUCCCUGGCCUCACUCAGUGGGUUAAGGAUCAGGAUAGAACCUGCAUCCUUGGGGUUCCCAGUCAGAUCUGUUUCUGCUGCGCCACAAUGGGAACUCGCUAUUCCUGAUCUUGACAGGCCCACUCUCUUCCCCGGAACCUGCUAUGCAUUUUCCAACUUCCAUGCUUUUUCCCCACUCUUCUGGCAAUGCUCUCAUUCAUCCUGUUCUUUCCGGUUAUUCAAAUCAAACCUUUGCUUCAGAACCCAGCCUGUAUCCUUCCUGAGGCUUGCCCUGGCUCCCCAAACCCCCUUCCUGGAGUCUUCCCUAGGAAUUCACAGAGGCCAUGUCCUUCCCUGGGGCACUGUUCCAUUUAACAUUCAAUGGAGGUUGUAAGCCCCAUGGAGCACUAGGUCUUAGGGGAAGGGAUGCGGAGCUCUCAGCAUCCUCUGGGUAGCUAGCUUAUUUAAGGGAGGGAUAUUGAAGGAAGUGACAGGCAGCGUCAUGGACAGGUGGGACAGGCAAAGAGCCAGACCUCACUGAGAUUGGUGAGUUGGGGAGUCAGGACCUGGGAGACUUCUCUCUUUGCCUCUCAGAGGCCACAAGGCCACCCUCUUGUCUGCCUCUGUGAGUAUCAGCUCACACCCAGCUUCCUACUUUGACAUGCAGCUGGCUCCAUAAUGGCUAUCUUAGCUUUCACUCUAUGUGACCUCGGGACUCAAGCAUCCACAAAUGGUUCAGGGCUCCUUUGCCUACAAAUGAAACAUCACAGUCAAAAUUGUUUAAGCAAAGAAAGGAACUUUGUUAAGUCAUGGAACUGUUGAAAAGUCCAGAAGAAAUCAGGUUUCAGGCAUGGCCAGAUCUAGGUACUCAAAGUAUAUGAUUAGGAAACUCUUAUCACUGGGUUGGCUUCACCCAUAGGAAAAGACUUCCUUUGGUUGGCAAGAUGGUCAGUGGAAAGUCCAGCUAAACAGUCUACCAGUUUAGCAGCUCUGGCAGAGAAAACACUUCCUCCAGGUAGCUUCAGUAAUAUUCCUGGGUAGAGCUCUCAUUGGUUUAGCUUUGAACCAGACUCUGUGGCCAGGGGACAUGAUGCUUUGAUCAGCAGGUUUGGGAUACAUACUCUACCCACAAAAGGCAAAAAUAGUAUAAUUACUAUCAGAACCCACUUGGACUGAGAUUGGGUGGGGAGGAGGCAAGCCCCUCAAAGAGGGCCCCAAUCAAGUUGGAGUUCACCUCUAAUUAGCUGUGGUGGGCUGGAGAUUGGUUCACACACCUGCUUCUCACCUAGCCUCUCUGCAGGGUGAUCAACUACUCUCUGUCUGCUCAUCGCCCCUCAUUCUUCUGUGAAUUGCAUCCUCUUUUGUGUGAGGUCCUUCUGCCCAAUCAUAAGAUUCUCCUGGGGCUGCCAAUCACAGCCCUGCUGGUCACAGAGGAGGGCAUGUGACCCAAGGUGACCAGAGUCCUUCCUUGGUAUUUUUUUUUUUAAUCAUUUAACAAAAGGAAGAAAGUCUGUUCCUUUCUUUCUGGAGGUGAAGCUAGGAAGACAUGAGUAGGAGCUGGUCAACUUUCCAAAGUCGUGGAAGAAGCUGGUUGGAGAGAACGAGACCAAAUACAGAGAAAGGAAAUGGAAAUGGAGAGAAAACGUCUUAACGAAGGCACAUGCCUUCGUUUCAUCAUUGCCAAGGCCCAACAGGAACCUGCUUUGGCCACCAUUUGGUUGAACAAGCCAAUAUAUUCAUCUUUUUGCCUAACUUGGACAGGGGGUGUUUCUUGCGCAUGUCGUGUGCUGGUUACACUGUGCUAAAGGGUCUCUACAAGUGGUCUCUUUCGAUGCCCAUAACUCCAUGACUAUUUCUCCAUUUUAUAGAUGCAGAAAUGAGGAUCAGAGAGGUUGGCCUACGUAGCAGCCAGUAAGUAGCAGAGUCAAGAUUCAAAACAGACAGACUGCCUCCAGAGCAACCCACAAAGCUCCAAAACCCUGAGUUUGGUGUGGACUGGGCAGGCAUCCCAGUGUGAGAUUAGCACUGGGGACCAGUCUGAUGCCCAGCCUUUACCCUCAAGCUACUUAGACUUUAGAACAUUGUUAGGUGAGGCUUAAAGUGAUAUUUUUUUUCACUAUGAAAUACGUACAGAAAGGCACAUGUAAGAUGUGGACAAUGUUGAUAAAUAAUUAGAAAAUAUACACUCACCUAUGUAACUACCACCUAAAUUAAGAAAUAGAACAUGGAGUUCCCACCAAGGCACAGCAGGUUAAGAAUCCGACUGCAGCAGCUCAGAUUUGAUCCCCAGCCUGGCAUGGUGGAUUAAAGGAUCCAGCAUUUGCUGAAGCAGCUCAGAUUCAAUUCCUGGCUUGGGAACUUCCAUAGCUGUGGGUGUGGCCAUUAAAAAAAAAAAAGAAAGAAAAAGAAAGGAGGGGGGCAAGAAAAAAGAAACAAGAAAUGACCAGCAUUCCAGAAGCCCCACUGGGUGCCUCUUUCCAGUCAGAACCUCUUUCUCCUCUAGAGCUCCCCCCGUCUGAUAUUGUGUGAGUUCACCCGCUGGGGUCGUUCUAGCGUAUGUGUGUAUAUCUUGUUUCCCUAGCUAGGCAGAGGCUGAUGGAGGGGGUGGUGGUAAGGACCAUUUCUUCCACUGUAUUUCUUUGCCUCCCCCACUUGCCAGGUGAAUAAUAGGUGCUGAAACACACCUGUUGAUGGGUGUUGUUGACAGGUUGACUGGGAUGAGUGAGAAUCUACCAUGGGUUGGAAAUUACGCCAGGCGUUUUGCACAUUAUCUCAUCAAAUUUUCACAAAAACCUCUAUCUGUAGGCUUGAUUAGCCUGCCUUUCCAAACAAGGACCCUAAGGUUCAAGGAAGACAGAUAGCACCCCCAAGGUCACGCAGAGAAUAAAUGGUAAGACUUGGCCCUGUUUUUUUCCUGGUUUGUUUCAGUGGGUGCAGGUAAGGUGAGGAAGGAAGGGAGAGAGGAGGGCGGAGGAGGGGCUGAGAAGAACAGUGACUGAGAAGGCUCAGAGCUUGGUUGCUCUGCCUGCUUUCAAACCCCAGCUCUGCCACUCAAGCAAAUG
This 3361-nucleotide long non-coding RNA is filed under the name Sus scrofa (pig). Its description in RNAcentral is "lncRNA (ENSSSCG00035069260.1)". Lineage: Eukaryota; Metazoa; Chordata; Mammalia; Artiodactyla; Suidae. The record is from RNAcentral.